UUACGAAACACAUUAGUUACGCUGAAAAUAUUUUUACUAGAUACUGAUUUUUGACAAUAACACUUGUUAAUUCUAAUAUGGUGCCAUACCUAUCAAGAAAUAAAGUGUUAGCUUGAUGGUUAAAAUUAAAAUCAUUUAAAUUUUAAAUCUCAAGUUAUAUUUGUGGUUAGUACUUUUCUAAUUUAAUUUUCUUAUAACAUUCUAUGAUCUCCACUUAUAAAAUAACACAAUGUAUUUAUUCGCAAAGCUUCCUAGCACAUUCGUGGUCAUCCCACUGAUAACCAUUUUCAAGUCUCAAACCAGUCUUAAUUCCCAUAGGCCAUACCAUCUUCGAUCAGCAAUAUUUGAUUAGACAGAGUUAGUUAAUUAGUAAAGGCCUAACCAUGGAAGUACACCUUAUUCUAAUAUAACUGUUAAUUCUUGUGCUCAUUGGUGGUAGCAUAAUAUUGGUUGGUUGGAGGAAUUUCAAAUGUAAGCCUCGUCGAUAACUCAAACCGCUUGGCAUCGGGUUGGAGAUGAUUUUUGUACGUGGCUUGGAGUUGAGUGCAGCUAGCAUGCAAGAGAUCGAACAGGUCAUGUCGAGUCGGACUCAUUAUUAAAAGUUGAAAUAAAUCCUUCCUUUAAAACUCCGAUGCUAAGCUCACUGUUCCAGCUGACCAAUCUUUAUUCUUCAGAUCAAUUUCCGGCAUGGCUUCAAACACAGACGCAACUCGAGACAUUGUACAUGAAUAAUGCAAGCAUCUCGAUACAUCUUUUUACAAAAAUUAUUAAGAUUUGGUCUUUUUAAUAAAUAAAACACAUUCAGCAAACAAAAAAGUAAAAUGGUAUUGAAAAUCAUUUUUUUAAGGCAAUUAUUAUGUUUCGUACGGUGAUGAAGGCACGAAGCAAAGCUCAAAGAGAGAAUGCCACUGGCACUAAUUAAGUGGGUUAGUUCAUCAAUUAAUAUAUUCAAAAUUUCUUAAACAAAUAGUAGAUCCUUAUCAGUAGUACCUUUAAAAAAUGAUCGGAAAAUGCACAUAUAUUAGUUACAUGCAUGCAUGCAUAUCCAUGGUGAGUUUUGCAUUUCAAUAAAACUUGGAUGUGUGCCUGCCUGCCUGCCUGCCUGCCUACAACAAGGUAAUGGUAAUGGUAAUGGCAGCAAUUGCAGUGAAUACAACAAAUUGGCUUAAGCAGGAAAUUCAAUAUUUAAAGGUAAUUUAAAACUCUUUAUCUUUCUCUGACUGAUAUCUAAAGCUAAUGUACGUACCCUGAUGCCAAGUUGAAGUUUUGUAGUGUAAUAAAUAUAUACAAGAGUAUCCCUAAGCUCAACAUUAGAAUAGAACCAACUCUUUUCUGAAAAAACUUAUUUUCCUGAAUUACCAAUUUAGAAGAUGAUGAGAGACUACUAAAUACCUAACUAGAAUGCAUUCCAAACAAUUAACCUAAAUGUGGAUUCCCCCAAAGAAAAGGAUCUGACAGGCUAUGGCAUAAUUAACCAGGGAAUAUUUCAUUCUCAGAAUAGCAAAACCAAAAACCAAUGGCUAAAGUUCAAAACUAUCCCAGCAUAUGCCGCCGCCUGAGUGUCUUUAAGAAAGCCUUAAUUCCCUAAAUAAGCCCAAAGAAUAACAACUAAAGAAGAAGAACUAGAGCACACUUGUGAAUAAAAAGACUUGGCAUUCACAAGAAAACUUUGCAAGAGAGCUAGAGAAUGC
Molecule: long non-coding RNA, 1691 nt
Filed under: Panax ginseng (ginseng)
Lineage: Eukaryota; Viridiplantae; Streptophyta; Magnoliopsida; Apiales; Araliaceae
Description: long non-coding RNA (PGIN_LNC008948)
Source: RNAcentral